Molecule: long non-coding RNA, 369 nt
Filed under: Rattus norvegicus (Norway rat)
Lineage: Eukaryota; Metazoa; Chordata; Mammalia; Rodentia; Muridae
Description: long non-coding RNA NONRATT029375
Source: RNAcentral
UUCCGCCCAAAAAAACCAAGCACCAGGAAGAGCAGGAAGAUGUGAACAAACCUGCCUGGGGGGUCAGCUCUUCUCCUUGGGUAACCUUUGUCUAUGCGCUCUACCAAGUUAAAGAGCUGAUGCGACUGACAAGAGACAGCCGCGCUUCUGAGAUACAACCUUUACAGUUGCACAUGGGAAAGGAGAUGAAAGGGGAUCCAUGAGAAUCGGCAAGUCUCUCCAGCUGGUGGAGCCCAAUGUGCUCCACAUGAAACUCACUCCGACUCACCUAGAAACCAGCUAUCCCCUGACACAGCAGCAUCUCAAAUGCAGUCCAGCCCUGCUCACCCUAGUGCCACCCCACAUGGACAGGAGAGUGGACAACAGCAG